This 216-nucleotide ribosomal RNA is filed under the name uncultured bacterium. RNAcentral describes it as "partial 16S ribosomal RNA". It matches the Rfam family "Bacterial small subunit ribosomal RNA", at positions 118 to 351 of the family's 1533-position model. The record is from RNAcentral.
UGGGAACGUACCCUUCAGUUCGGAACAACCCAGGGAAACUUGGGCUAAUACCGAAUACGUCCGUAAGGAGAAAGAUUUAUCGCUGAAGGAUCGGCCCGCGUCUGAUUAGCUUGUUGGUGAGGUAACGGCUCACCAAGGCUACGAUCAGUAGCUGGUCUGAGAGGAUGAUCAGCCUCACUGGGACUGAGACACGGCCCAGACUCCUACGGGAGGCAG